Molecule: ribosomal RNA, 207 nt
Filed under: uncultured bacterium
Lineage: Bacteria
Description: partial 16S ribosomal RNA
Rfam family: Bacterial small subunit ribosomal RNA
Source: RNAcentral
CGUGUAGGCGGCCAGAUAGGUCUGGUGUGAAAACUCGAGGCUCAACCUCGAGAGGUCACUGGAAACCAUUUGGCUAGAGUCCGGAAGAGGAGAGUGGAAUUCCUGGUGUAGCGGAGAAAUGCGCAGAUAUCAGGAAGAACACCUAUGGCGAAGGCAGCUCUCUGGGACGGUACUGACGCUGAGACGCGAAAGCGUGGGGAGCAAACA